UCUUGACGGUACCUAAUCAGAAAGCCACGGCUAACUACGUGCCAGCAGCCGCGGUAAUACGUAGGUGGCAAGCGUUAUCCGGAAUUAUUGGGCGUAAAGCGCGCGUAGGCGGUUUUUUAAGUCUGAUGUGAAAGCCCACGGCUCAACCGUGGAGGGUCAUUGGAAACUGGAAAACUUGAGUGCAGAAGAGGAAAGUGGAAUUCCAUGUGUAGCGGUGAAAUUCCAUGUGUAGCGGUUCCA
This 240-nucleotide ribosomal RNA is filed under the name Staphylococcus epidermidis. RNAcentral describes it as "partial 16S ribosomal RNA". It matches the Rfam family "Bacterial small subunit ribosomal RNA", at positions 467 to 709 of the family's 1533-position model. The record is from RNAcentral. Lineage: Bacteria; Bacillati; Bacillota; Bacilli; Caryophanales; Staphylococcaceae.